CAGGCCUAACACAUGCAAGUCGAACGAUGANACUCUAGCUUGCUAGAGAUGAUUAGUGGCGGACGGGUGAGUAACAUUUAGGAAUCUGCCUAGUAGUGGGGGAUAGCUCGGGGAAACUCGAAUUAAUACCGCAUACGACCUACGGGUGAAAGGGGGCGCAAGCUCUUGCUAUUAGAUGAGCCUAAAUCAGAUUAGCUAGUUGGUGGGGUAAAGGCCCACCAAGGCGACGAUCUGUAACUGGUCUGAGAGGAUGAUCAGUCACACCGGAACUGAGACACGGUCCGGACUCCUACGGGAGGCAGCAGUGGGGAAUAUUGGACAAUGGGGGCAACCCUGAUCCAGCCAUGCCGCGUGUGUGAAGAAGGCCUUUUGGUUGUAAAGCACUUUAAGCAGGGAGGAGAGGCUAAUGGUUAAUACCCAUUAGAUUAGACGUUACCUGCAGAAUAAGCACCGGCUAACUCUGUGCCAGCAGCCGCGGUAAU
This 482-nucleotide ribosomal RNA is filed under the name uncultured bacterium. RNAcentral's name for it is "bacterial SSU rRNA". It matches the Rfam family "Bacterial small subunit ribosomal RNA", at positions 43 to 524 of the family's 1533-position model. The record is from RNAcentral.